GAUGAACGCUAGCGGGAGGCCUAAUACAUGCAAGUCGAGCGGUAGAGUGACUUCGGUUGCUUGAGAGCGGCGCACGGGUGAGUAACGCGUACAUGACCUACCUUUAAGACUGGGAUAGCCCUGGGAAACUGGGAUUAAUACCGGAUGUGAUAGUACGUAUAGAGAUGUAUUAUUAAAGUUGAGGCGCUUAGAGAUGGAUGUGCGUCUGAUUAGCUAGUUGGUAGGGUAACGGCCUACCAAGGCUACGAUCAGUAGGGGCGUGAGAGCGUGGCCCCCCACACGGGUACUGAGACACGGACCCGACUCCUACGGGAGGCAGCAGUAAGGAAUAUUGGUCAAUGGACGGAAGUCUGAACCAGCCAUCCCGCGUGCAGGAUGACUGCCCUAUGGGUUGUAAACUGCUUUUAGCAGAGACGAAACGCCUUCAUUUAUGAGGGUCUGACGGUAUCUGCAGAAUAAGCACCGGCUAACUCCGUGCCAGCAGCCGCGGUAAU
Molecule: ribosomal RNA, 494 nt
Filed under: uncultured bacterium
Lineage: Bacteria
Description: bacterial SSU rRNA
Rfam family: Bacterial small subunit ribosomal RNA
Source: RNAcentral